GAAAGAGAGAAGAGGAAGAAAGAAAAGAAAAAACAGAAAAGAAAAAGUUUUAAAGCAGCAGCUUCCGGUCCUCUUAACAGCAGUUCCAACAAAAAAAUCCAUAAGGGGUUUCCAGUCACUAAUAAAUGCAGAUACUGUUCUUUCUCCAAUCAAACAAGUCGAUUUUGCCAUCUCUGCUAAUUCACCAACCAUUCCUCCACGUGAGGUGCCUCCCCCUCCAUCAAUUGUCCCAGGCUCCCUGAAACACUGCCAGAGCUGCGGCCAUGAGUUCCACCAGCUAAUCUGAGCAUGCAGGCUUCCUGAAUUCAAGGUGAACCUUUUGCAGUCCAUGAGUCCUGAACGUUGGUGUGAAAAGACAGACCAAGGAAGUUGUACGUGCUCCUCCUGCAGAACCAAUCCCCUGGUUUCAGGACAAUUUUCACUUCUGGCCAAAAAGAUUUGCACUAACAAAUCACAACUGACUUGGUAGUGCACCGGACCUGCCUUUCCCUGCACCGCUGCCUGCAUCGCCUCAACAUCU
Python bivittatus (Burmese python) is the source of this 520-nucleotide long non-coding RNA. RefSeq lists it as uncharacterized. The record is from RefSeq and is a predicted model, not a curated record. Lineage: Eukaryota; Metazoa; Chordata; Lepidosauria; Squamata; Pythonidae.